RNAcentral lists this ribosomal RNA (1268 nucleotides) under Pediococcus pentosaceus. Its description in RNAcentral is "bacterial SSU rRNA". It matches the Rfam family "Bacterial small subunit ribosomal RNA", at positions 1 to 1235 of the family's 1533-position model. The record is from RNAcentral. Lineage: Bacteria; Bacillati; Bacillota; Bacilli; Lactobacillales; Lactobacillaceae.
UGAGAGUUUGAUCUUGGCUCAGGAUGAACGCUGGCGGCGUGCCUAAUACAUGCAAGUCGAACGAACUUCCGUUAAUUGAUUAUGACGUACUUGUACUGAUUGAGAUUUUAACACGAAGUGAGUGGCGAACGGGUGAGUAACACGUGGGUAACCUGCCCAGAAGUAGGGGAUAACACCUGGAAACAGAUGCUAAUACCGUAUAACAGAGAAAACCGCAUGGUNUUCUUUUAAAAGAUGGCUCUGCUAUCACUUCUGGAUGGACCCGCGGCGUAUUAGCUAGUUGGUGAGGUAAAGGCUCACCAAGGCAGUGAUACGUAGCCGACCUGAGAGGGUAAUCGGCCACAUUGGGACUGAGACACGGCCCAGACUCCUACGGGAGGCAGCAGUAGGGAAUCUUCCACAAUGGACGCAAGUCUGAUGGAGCAACGCCGCGUGAGUGAAGAAGGGUUUCGGCUCGUAAAGCUCUGUUGUUAAAGAAGAACGUGGGUAAGAGUAACUGUUUACCCAGUGACGGUAUUUAACCAGAAAGCCACGGCUAACUACGUGCCAGCAGCCGCGGUAAUACGUAGGUGGCNAGCGUUAUCCGGAUUUAUUGGGCGUAAAGCGAGCGCAGGCGGUCUUUUAAGUCUAAUGUGAAAGCCUUCGGCUCAACCGAAGAAGUGCAUUGGAAACUGGGAGACUUGAGUGCAGAGAGGACAGUGGAACUCCAUGUGUAGCGGUGAAAUGCGUAGAUAUAUGGAAGAACACCAGUGGCGAAGGCGGCNGUCUGGUCUGCAACUGACGCUGAGGCUCGAAAGCAUGGGUAGCGAACAGGAUUAGAUACCCUGGUUCCAUGCCGUAAACGAUGAUUACUAAGUGUUGGAGGGUUUCCGCCCUUCAGUGCUGCAGCUAACGCAUUAAGUAAUCCGCCUGGGGAGUACGACCGCAAGGUUGAAACUCAAAAGAAUUGACGGGNGCNNGCACAAGCUGGAGCAUGUGGUUUAAUUCGAAGCUACGCGAAGAACCUUACCAGGUCUUGACAUCUUCUGACAGUCUAAGAGAUUAGAGGUCCCCUUCGGGGACAGAAUGACAGGUGGUGCAUGGUUGUCGUCAGCUCGUGUCGUGAGAUGUUGGGUUAAGUCCCGCAACGAGCGCAACCCUUAUUACUAGUUGCCAGCAUUAAGUUGGGCACUCUAGUGAGACUGCCGGUGACAAACCGGAGGAAGGUGGGGACGACGUCAAAUCAUCAUGCCCCUUAUGACCUGGGCUACACACGUGCUACAAUGGAU